ACAAGCCAACAAACUGAAGACAGAUCCCCCCAAUGUUCCUAAAUGGUCUUUGUUUUGGGUGCAUUGAUCGCCCUCAUUCGGUGCAUUUGCUGAAAAGGGAAUUGUAAACAUAUGUAUAACAGUAAAUCCUCGUAAAGAUGGAAGAAAAGCAGUAUACGUCACUGACGGUUCCUACGGAUUAUCUCCAACAGUGGUACCAGUCCACCCAGCAGCACCCCCAAGCUCAACAUGUGAUGCAGUACCAUAACACAGGUCAUAUGGGCCAUUACAUGGAGGGAUCCAGAGAGGACCGGGUCAUGACAGAGCUGUCGGUCCACCAGGAGCUCCCAGUCCACCAAGAGCUGGACUUCCAUCAUGACUUCCUCGGCCAUCAAGAGCCAAUUGUCCAACAUCAUCAGCCUGUGGAUACAUCACAAGCUCCAAUGCCAGGGAAGAGAAAGAGAGGUAGGCCUCCCAAACAGAAGCCGGGGGAGGGCCAACCGCAGGAGGAACACGAUCAGGCAGAAGCUCUGAAGAAAGCCAAAAGGACCCUUAACCGCUUCAAUGGCAUGUCAGUGGAUGAGGUCAUGGCCAAAACCCUGCCAGACAUUAUUGACCACAACCUCGACAUUUUGAUAAUUGGUAUCAAUCCAGGACUAUUGUCAGCCUACAAGGGACGACAUUACCCAAACCCAGGAAAUCAUUUUUGGAAAUGCCUGUUCCUCUCUGGUCUUACUGAUGAGCAACUCAACCACAUGCACGAUCAAAACUUACCGGAGAAGUAUGGCAUUGGCUUUACCAACAUGGUGGAGAGGACAACGCCAGGAAGCAAAGACCUCUCAAGCAAAGAGUUUCGUGAAGGAGGCCAUCAAUUGGUAGAGAAGCUGAAGAAAUACAAACCGCUAAUUGCAGCUUUCAAUGGAAAAUGUAUUUACGAAAUUUUCAGCAAAGAGAUCUUUGGAGUGAAGGCAAAGAAACUCGAGUUCGGCUUACAGCCGUACACAAUCCCAGAAACCGAAACGGUGUGCUACUUGAUGCCCUCGUCAAGCCCCCGCUGUGCCCAGUUCCCCCGCGCUCAGGACAAGGUUCACUUCUACAUCAAGCUGAAGGAGCUACGGGACAAGAUCAAGGGUGUGGCCCCAGUCGCCCGUGAGGUGCAAGAGACAGAGUACCACUUCGACUUGGGACUUGCCAAAGGCAGAAAUCACAAUGGAUUACAUGUAUACAGUACCAGUCAAAAGUCUGGACACACCUACUCAUUCCAGGGUUUUUCUUCAUUUUUACUAUUUUCUACGAUGUACAAUAAUAGUGAAGACAUCAAAACUAUGAAAUAACACAUAUGGAUGUAUGAAUGUAGUAACCAAAAAAGUGUUAAGACAAAUCAAAAUAUAGCCACCCUUUGCCUUGAUGACAGCUUUGCACACUCUUGGCAUUCUCAAAACCAGCUUCACCUGGAAUGCUUUUCCAACAGUCUUGAAGGAGUUCCCACAUAUGCUGAGCACUUGUUGGCUGCUUUUCCUUCACUUUGAAGUCCAACUCAUCCCAAACCAUCUCAAUUGGGUUGAGGUCGGGUAAUUGUGGAGGCCAGGUCAUUUGAUGCAGCACUCCAUCACUCUCCUUGGUCAAAUAGCCCUUACACAGUCUGGAGGUGAGUUGCGUCAUUGUCCUGUUGAAAAACAAAUGAUUGUCCCACUAAGUGCAAACCAGAUGGAAUGGCGUAUCGCUGCAGAAUGCUGUGGUAGCCAUGCUGGUUAAGUGUACCUUGAAUGCUAAAUGAAUCACCAACAGUGUCACCAGCAAAACACCAUCACACCUCCCCCUCCAUGCUUAACGGUGGGAACCACAUAUGCGGACAUCAUCCGUUAACCUACUCUGCAUCUCAAAGACAGCGGUUGGAACCCAAAAUCUAAAAUCUGGACUCAUCAGACCAAAUGACAGAUUUCCACCGGUCUAAUGUCCAUUGAUCGUGUUUUUUGUCCCAAGCAAGUCUCUUCUUCUUAUUGGUGUCCUUUAGUAGUGGUUUCUUUGAAGCAAUUCGACCAUGAAGGCCUGAUUUACGCAGUCUCCUCUGAACAAUUGAUGUUGAGAUGGUGUCUGUUUUUUGAACUCAGAAGCAUUUAUUUGGGCUACAAUCUGAAGUGCAGUUAACUCUAAUAAACUUAUCCUCUACAGCAGAGGUAACUCUGGGUCACUUGAAGAAACUUUCAAAGUUCUUGACAUUUUCUGGAUUGACUGACCUUCAUGUCUUAAAGUAAUGAUGGACUGUCGUUUCUCUUUGCUUAUUUGAGCUGUUCUUGCCAUAAUAUGGACUUGGUUUUUUACCAAAUAGGUCUAUCUUCUGUAUACCACCCCUACCUUGUCACAACACCACUGAUUGGCUCAGAUGCAUUAAGAAGGAAAUAAAUUCCACAAAUUUACUUUUAACAAGGCACACCUGUUAAUUGAAAUGCAUUCCAGGUGACUAUCUCAUGAAGCUGGUUGAGAGAAUGCCUAGUGUGCAAAGCUGUCAUCAAGGCAGAGGGUGGCUACAUUGAAGAAUCUCAAAUAUAAAAUAUGUUGAUUUGUUUAACACUUGUUUUGGUUACUACAUGAUUCCGUAUGUGUUAUUUCAUAGUUUCGAUGUCUUCACUAUUAUUCUACAAUGUAAAAAUAAAGUAAAACCCUGGAAUGAGUACAACAUUUUAAUUGGUGCUGUGUGUGUAUAUAUAUAUAUAUAUAUACAUUAUCUUCACACAAUACCCCCUACUGACAAAGUGAAAACAUGUUUAGGCAUUUUUAUUGAAAAUUAAAUGCAGAAUUUUAUUUCUGUAAAUAUUUACACCCCUGAGUCAAUACAUGUUAGAAUUAACUUUGGCAGUCUUUCUGAGUAAGUCUCUUAAGAGUUUUGCACAUCUGGAUUGUACAAUUACUUGCACAUUCUUUUAAACAUUUCUCAAGCUCUGUCAAGUUGGUUGUUGACCAUUGCUAGACAGCCAUUUUCAAGUCUUAACAUAGAUUUUCAAGCAGAUUUAAGUCUAAACUGCAACUAUGCCACUCAGGAACAUUCAAUGCGGUCUUGGUAAGCAACUCCAGUGAAUAUUUGAUCUUGUGUUUUAGGUUAUUGUCCUGCUGAAACGUGAAUAUGUUUCCCGGUGUCUGUUGGAAAUCCAACUGAACCAGGUUUUCCUCUAGGAUUUUGCCUGUGCUUUGCUCCAUUCUGUCUCUUUUUUUUUUUAUCCUGAAAAACUCCCCAGUCCUUAACUAUUACAAGCAUACCCAUAGCAUGAUGCACCCACCACCAUGCUUGAAAAUAUGAAGAGUGGUACUCAGUGAUGUGUUGUAUAUGCCCCAACAGUUUAGCAAUGUCUAACAAUUCACAACAAUACACACAUCUAAAGUAAAAGAAUGGAGUUAAGAAAUGCAUCAAUAUUAGGACGAGCAAUGUCAGUGGCAUUAACUAAAAUACAGUAGAUUAGAAUACAGCAUGUACAUAUGAAAUGAGUAAAGCGUUAUGUAAACAUUUGACCAGUGAUUCUAUGUAUAUACCCUAGCAGACUAAGGUGCAGGGUUGAGUAGCCGGGUGGUAGACGGCUAUUUAACAGUCUGAUGGCUUUGAGAUAGAAGCUGUUUUUCAGACUCUCGGUCCCAGCUUUGAUGUACCUGUACUGACCUUGCCUUCUGUAUGGUAGUGGGGUGAACAGGCCGUGGAUCGUGUGGUUGAUGUCCUUGAUGAUCUUUUUUGGCCUUCCUGUGACAUUGGGCGCUGUAGUUGUCUUGGAGGGCAGGCAGUGUGCCCUCGGUGAUGCGUUUGGCAGACUGCGCCACCCUCUGGAGAGCCCUGUGGUUGAGGUCGGCGCAGUUGCCGUACCAGGCGGUGAUAUAGCCCAACAGGCUCUCAAUUGUUCAUCUGUAAAAGUUUGUGAGGGUCUUAGUGGCCAAGCCGAAUUUCUUUAGCCUCCUGAGGUUGAAGAGACGCCGUUGCGCCUUCUUCACCACACUGUCUGUGUGGGUGGACCAUUUCAGAUUGUCAAUGAUGUGUACGCAAAGGAACUUGAAGCUUUUCACCUUCUCCACUGAGGUCCCGUCGAUGUGGAUAGGGGGGUACUCCCUCUGCUGUUUCCUGAAGUCCAUGAUCAUCUCCUUUCUUUGUGUUGAGAGAGAGGUUAUUUUCCUGGCACCACUCCGCCAGGGCCCUCACCUCCUCCCUGUAGGCUUUCUCGUCAUUGCUGGUAAUCAAGCCUACCACUGCAGUGUCGUCUGCAAACUUGAUGAUUGAGUUGGAGGCAUGCGUGGCCACGCAGUCAUGGGUGAACAGGGAGUACAGGAGGGGGCUGCACAUUCACCCUUGUGGGGCCCGUGUGUUGAGGAUCAGCAAAGUGAAGGCGUUGUUUCCUAGCUUCAUCACCUGGGGGCGGCCCGUCAGGAAGUCCAGGACCCAGUUGCACAGGGCGGGGUUCAGACCCAGGGCCCUGAGCUUAAUGAGCUUGGAGGGUAGUAUGGUGCUGAAUGAUGAGCAAUAGUCAAUGAACAGUAUUCUUACAUAGGUAUUACUCUUAUCCACAUGGGAUAGGGAGGUAUGCAGUGCAAUGGCAAUUGCAUAGUCUGUGGAUCUAUUGGGUAGUGUAAUGUAGAGGUGACAUGAUCUUUAACUAGCCUUUCAAAUUACUUCGUGAUGACAGAAGUGAGUGCUACGGGGCGAUAUUCAUUUAGUUCAGUUACCUUUGCUUUCUUGGGUACUGGAACAAUGGUGGCCAUAUUGAAGCAUGUGGGGACAGCAGACUGGGAUAGGGUGAGAUUGAAUAUGUCCGUAAACACUCCAGCCAGCUGGUCUGCGCUGUCUCUGAGGACGCUGCUAGGGAUGCCGUCUGGGCUGGCAGCCUUGCGAGGGUUAACAUGUUUAAAUGUCUUACUCACGUUGGCCUCGGAGAACGAGAGCCCGCAGUCCUUGGGAGCGGUCCGCGUCGGGGACACUGUGUUAUCGUCAAAGCGGGUCGAAGGAGGUGUUUAGCUUGUCCGGGAGCAAGACGUUAGUGUCUGCGACGUGGCUGAUGUUCCCUCUGUAGUCCGUGAUUGGCUGUAGACCCUGCCACAUGCGUUUCAUGUCAGAGCUGUUGAAUUGCGACUCCACUUUGUCUCUGUACUGACGUUUUGCCUGUUUAAUUGUUUUACGGAGGGAAUAACUACACUUUUUAUUCAGCUUUAUUGACUUGCCUAGUUAAAUAAAGAUAAAAUAAAAUAAAUUCCCAGUCACCUUGCCAUGGUUAAAUGCAGUGGUUUCCACUUUCAGUUUUGCGUGAAUGCUGCCAACUAUCCACGGUUUCUGGUUUGGGUAGGUUUUAAUAGUCACAGUGAGAACAACAUCUGCUAUUCACGUGUCAGUGUAUGCAUCGAUGUUAUUCUCUGAACAUAUCCCAGUCCACGUUAUCAAAACAAUCUUGAAGCAUGGAUUCCGAUUGGUCAGACCAGCGUUGAAUAUACCUUAGCAUGGGCACUUCCUGUUUGAGUUUCUGCCUAUAGGAAGGGAGGAGCAAAAUGGACUCAACUCCGGAGAGUUAGUUAUUACUGUCUGCGCAAUGUACUGAGAAUCCAGCUGCCUGUAUGGAUGGGGACAGUAUAUCCGGAGAGAGCCAUGAUUCUGUGAAACAGAAUAUGUUACAGUCCCUGAUGUCUCUCUGGAAGGAGAUUCUCGCCCUGAGCUCGUCUACUUUAUUGUCCAGAGACUGAAGAUUAGCGAGUAAUAUACUCGGAAGCGGUGGAUGGUGUGCAUGUCUCUAGAGUCUGAUUAGAAGUCCACUCUGAAUACCUCUUCUCCGCCGGCGAUGUCUUGGAGCAGCCUCUGGGAUAAGUUAAAUUGCCCUGGGGGGGAUACGAACUAAGGAUCCAAUUCGGGAUCCAAGUCAUAUUCCUUCUAAUGCUGGGGAGUUACCGCCGCUCUGAUAUCCAAAAGUUAUUUCUGGCUGUAUGUAACAAUACAAACGUCUUGGGCAAAUAAUGUAAGAAAUAACACACAAAAAAAUGAAAUACUGUGAAGUUGCUUAGGAGCUAGAAGCAGAGCUGCCAUAUCUGUCAGCGCCAUCUUGUCAUCAAGUCAGUUAAGGACAAAUUCUUAUUUACAAUGAAGACCCACCCCCCCGGCCAAACCCUCCCCUAACCCGGACAACGCUGGGCCUGUUGUGUGCUGCCCUAUGGGACUCCCGAUCACGGCUGGUUGUGACACAGCCUGGGAACAAACCAGGGUCUGUAGUGACUCCUCUUAGACCGCUGCGCCACUCGGGGGGCCCCUUUUCACUCUGUAAUUUAGGUUAGUAUUGUGGAGAAACUACACUGUUGUUGAUCCAUCCUCAGUUUUUUCCCAUCACAGCCAUUAAAUUCUGUAACUGUUUUAAAGUCACCAUUGGCCUCAUGGUAAAUUUCCCUAAUCGGUUUCCUUCCUUUCCGGUAACUGACUUAAGAAGGACGCCUGUAUCAUUGUAGUGACUGGGUGUGUAUAUAUACACCAUCCAAAGUGUAAUUAAUAUCUUCACCAUGCUCAAAGUGAUAUUCAAUUUCUGCUUUUUUUCCCCCUUUACCAUCUACCAAUAGGUGCCCUUCUUUGCGAGGUAUUGGAAAACCUCCCUGGUCUGUGUUUUGAAAUUCGCUGCUUGACUGAGACCUUACAUGUGAGGGGUACAGAGAUGAGAGGAUGCUAAGAGGAUGGCCAUCAAGGAAGAGCAGGUGGAUCCGGAGUACGAGAACUGCGGUGGGGCGUCCCAGGAUGCAAAGC
Oncorhynchus nerka (sockeye salmon) is the source of this 6721-nucleotide RNA transcript. It is a transcript of the gene named G/T mismatch-specific thymine DNA glycosylase-like, with no coding region annotated. Lineage: Eukaryota; Metazoa; Chordata; Actinopteri; Salmoniformes; Salmonidae. The transcript has 11 exons. The record is from RefSeq and is a predicted model, not a curated record.